Molecule: long non-coding RNA, 649 nt
Filed under: Corvus moneduloides (New Caledonian crow)
Lineage: Eukaryota; Metazoa; Chordata; Aves; Passeriformes; Corvidae
Description: lncRNA (ENSCMUG00000014067.2)
Source: RNAcentral
CUUUACCCAGAGAUCAUUUUAAACACUUUGUAUUUCUCUGAUGAACUUAUUUGCAGGAUCAAUAGAAAAUACUUUAAUAGGUUAUGCCUCUGCAUUUCACAACUGGAGAGAGGAAAGGAAGACGCUUCAAGUACACAUAAAUUGUGAUGCAGCUUUCAAUUUCGUGGAUGUCACCAACAAAGAGACACAAGUCCAGUUUGUUUGCCAGCAUAGAAGAUGAAGCACUGAGGGAAAUGGAGGUAACAGGAAUAAGAAGAUAUAGGAGGGUUAAUGCUCUGAAGUAUCCCUUACCAUAGCAUCCAUGGCAUGCUAGAAAAGAGGACUCAAGAACAUCUGGUUUUGCUCCUGAGGAUACCUUACCCUUUCACACCUUUUCAGCUUUCAGGUUACUACUGAAAGUAAUCUGAAAAAUGUAAAUCUAACAUUUAGUUUAUUUAUUAUAAAUGUAAGAUACUGUUCAUUCUUUAUUGCUGAUCUCCAGGAACAAAAAGUCACAUGUUUUUCUGUUUUUGACAAAUGGAAAAAACCCCUAGUAUCAAUUUUUUCCAUAUAUACAUAUUACAUUUUCUCCAUGAUGUGCAGCUUCAUCAACAUUAACAUUUGCAAAAUGCAGAACUAUUUCCAUUUACACUGAAAAAAAUGAAUCUCC